Molecule: ribosomal RNA, 1062 nt
Filed under: Latilactobacillus sakei
Lineage: Bacteria; Bacillati; Bacillota; Bacilli; Lactobacillales; Lactobacillaceae
Description: bacterial SSU rRNA
Rfam family: Bacterial small subunit ribosomal RNA
Source: RNAcentral
AAGAAGGUUUUCGGAUCGUAAAACUUUGUUGUUGGAGAAGAAUGUAUCUGAUAGUAACUGAUCAGGUAGUGACGGUAUCCAACCAGAAAGCCACGGCUAACUACGUGCCAGCAGCCGCGGUAAUACGUAGGUGGCAAGCGUUGUCCGGAUUUAUUGGGCGUAAAGCGAGCGCAGGCGGUUUCUUAAGUCUGAUGUGAAAGCCUUCGGCUCAACCGAAGAAGUGCAUCGGAAACUGGGAAACUUGAGUGCAGAAGAGGACAGUGGAACUCCAUGUGUAGCGGUGAAAUGCGUAGAUAUAUGGAAGAACACCAGUGGCGAAGGCGGCUGUCUGGUCUGUAACUGACGCUGAGGCUCGAAAGCAUGGGUAGCAAACAGGAUUAGAUACCCUGGUAGUCCAUGCCGUAAACGAUGAGUGCUAGGUGUUGGAGGGUUUCCGCCCUUCAGUGCCGCAGCUAACGCAUUAAGCACUCCGCCUGGGGAGUACGACCGCAAGGUUGAAACUCAAAGGAAUUGACGGGGGCCCGCACAAGCGGUGGAGCAUGUGGUUUAAUUCGAAGCAACGCGAAGAACCUUACCAGGUCUUGACAUCCUUUGACCACUCUAGAGAUAGAGCUUUCCCUUCGGGGACAAAGUGACAGGUGGUGCAUGGUUGUCGUCAGCUCGUGUCGUGAGAUGUUGGGUUAAGUCCCGCAACGAGCGCAACCCUUAUUACUAGUUGCCAGCAUUUAGUUGGGCACUCUAGUGAGACUGCCGGUGACAAACCGGAGGAAGGUGGGGACGACGUCAAAUCAUCAUGCCCCUUAUGACCUGGGCUACACACGUGCUACAAUGGAUGGUACAACGAGUUGCGAGACCGCGAGGUUUAGCUAAUCUCUUAAAACCAUUCUCAGUUCGGAUUGUAGGCUGCAACUCGCCUACAUGAAGCCGGAAUCGCUAGUAAUCGCGGAUCAGCAUGCCGCGGUGAAUACGUUCCCGGGCCUUGUACACACCGCCCGUCACACCAUGAGAGUUUGUAACACCCAAAGCCGGUGAGGUAACCCUUCGGGGAGCCAGCCGUCUAAG